RNAcentral lists this transfer RNA (64 nucleotides) under Rhodobium orientis. It matches the Rfam family "tRNA", at positions 5 to 66 of the family's 71-position model. From Rfam's summary of the family: Transfer RNA (tRNA) molecules are approximately 80 nucleotides in length. Their secondary structure includes four short double-helical elements and three loops (D, anti-codon, and T loops). Further hydrogen bonds mediate the characteristic L-shaped molecular structure. tRNAs have two regions of fundamental functional importance: the anti-codon, which is responsible for specific mRNA codon recognition, and the 3' end, to which the tRNAs corresponding amino acid is attached (by aminoacyl-tRNA synthetases). tRNAs cope with the degeneracy of the genetic code in two manners: having more than one tRNA (with a specific anti-codon) for a particular amino acid; and 'wobble' base-pairing, i.e. permitting non-standard base-pairing at the 3rd anti-codon position. RNAcentral also lists the same sequence under 4 other names. Lineage: Bacteria; Pseudomonadati; Pseudomonadota; Alphaproteobacteria; Hyphomicrobiales; Rhodobiaceae. The record is from RNAcentral.
CCACGUGGCGGAGUGGUGACGCAGCGGACUGCAAAUCCGUAUACCCCGGUUCGAUUCCGGGCGU